AUUGAACGCUGGCGGCAUGCCUUACACAUGCAAGUCGAACGGCAGCACGGGAGCAAUCCUGGUGGCGAGUGGCGAACGGGUGAGUAAUAUAUCGGAACGUGCCCAGUCGUGGGGGAUAACGUAGCGAAAGCUACGCUAAUACCGCAUACGAUCUAUGGAUGAAAGCGGGGGAUCGCAAGACCUCGCGCGAUUGGAGCGGCCGAUAUCAGAUUAGGUAGUUGGUGGGGUAAAAGCCUACCAAGCCUUCGAUCUGUAGCUGGUCUGAGAGGACGACCAGCCACACUGGAACUGAGACACGGUCCAGACUCCUACGGGAGGCAGCAGUGGGGAAUUUUGGACAAUGGGCGCAAGCCUGAUCCAGCAAUGCCGCGUGCAGGACGAA
Molecule: ribosomal RNA, 382 nt
Filed under: uncultured bacterium
Lineage: Bacteria
Description: bacterial SSU rRNA
Rfam family: Bacterial small subunit ribosomal RNA
Source: RNAcentral